CACCAGCGCCACAAGUGGGGAUCAGUAUUAUUGGGCCUAAAGCGUUCGUAGCCGGAUAUGUAAAUCUUUUGUGAAAUUGUCAGGCUCAACCUGACAGCGCGCAGAAGACACUGCAUAUCUUGAGACCGGGAGGAGUAAGAGGUAUUCGUGGGGUAGCGGUAAAAUGCAAUAAUCCCUCGAGGACCACCAGUGGCGAAGGCGUCUUACUAGAACGGGUCUGACGGUUAGGAACGAAAGCUAGGGGA
This 245-nucleotide ribosomal RNA is filed under the name uncultured archaeon. RNAcentral describes it as "partial 16S ribosomal RNA". It matches the Rfam family "Archaeal small subunit ribosomal RNA", at positions 474 to 718 of the family's 1478-position model. The record is from RNAcentral.